This 560-nucleotide ribosomal RNA is filed under the name uncultured bacterium. RNAcentral describes it as "bacterial SSU rRNA". It matches the Rfam family "Bacterial small subunit ribosomal RNA", at positions 338 to 916 of the family's 1533-position model. The record is from RNAcentral.
CCUACGGGAGGCAGCAGUGGGGAAUAUUGGACAAUGGGCGCAAGCCUGAUCCAGCCAUGCCGCGUGGGUGAUGAAGGCCCUAGGGUUGUAAAGCCCUUUCGGCGGGGAAGAUAAUGACGGUACCCGCAGAAGAAGCCCCGGCUAACUUCGUGCCAGCAGCCGCGGUAAUACGAAGGGGGCUAGCGUUGCUCGGAAUCACUGGGCGUAAAGCGCACGUAGGCGGCUUUUUAAGUCAGGGGUGAAAUCCUGGAGCUCAACUCCAGAACUGCCCUUGAUACUGAGAGGCUUGAGUCCGGGAGAGGUGAGUGGAACUGCGAGUGUAGAGGUGAAAUUCGUAGAUAUUCGCAAGAACACCAGUGGCGAAGGCGGCUCACUGGCCCGGUACUGACGCGGAGGUGCGAAAGCGUGGGGAGCAAACAGGAUUAGAUACCCUGGUAGUCCACGCCGUAAACGAUGGAUGCUAGCCGUUGUCGGGUUUACCCGUCAGUGGCGCAGCUAACGCAUUAAGCAUCCCGCCUGGGGAGUACGGUCGCAAGAUUAAAACUCAAAGGAAUUGACGG